UGGGGAAUCUUGGACAAUGGGCGAAAGCCUGAUCCAGCCAUGCCGCGUGAGUGAAGAAGGCCUUAGGGUUGUAAAGCUCUUUCAAUUGUGAAGAUAAUGACGGUAGCAAUAGAAGAAGCACCGGCUAACUUCGUGCCAGCAGCCGCGGUAAUACGAAGGGUGCUAGCGUUGUUCGGAAUCACUGGGCGUAAAGCGCACGUAGGCGGACUGCCAAGCCAGAGGUGAAAGCCCGGGGCUCAACCCCGGAAUUGCCUUUGGAACUGGUAGUCUAGAGUACGAUAGGGGGUGGUGGAAUUCCUAGUGUAGAGGUGAAAUUCAUAGAUAUUAGGAGGAACACCAGUGGCGAAGGCGACCACCUGGAUCGAUACUGACGCUGAGGUGCGAAAGCGUGGGGAGCAAACAGGAUUAGAUACCCCCGUAGUCC
Molecule: ribosomal RNA, 424 nt
Filed under: uncultured prokaryote
Description: bacterial SSU rRNA
Rfam family: Bacterial small subunit ribosomal RNA
Source: RNAcentral